RNAcentral lists this ribosomal RNA (667 nucleotides) under uncultured bacterium. RNAcentral describes it as "bacterial SSU rRNA". It matches the Rfam family "Bacterial small subunit ribosomal RNA", at positions 8 to 673 of the family's 1533-position model. The record is from RNAcentral.
AGAGUUUGAUCAUGGCUCAGAUUGAACGCUGGCGGCAUGCCUUACACAUGCAAGUCGAACGGUAACAGGUCUUCGGAUGCUGACGAGUGGCGAACGGGUGAGUAAUACAUCGGAACGUGCCCGAUCGUGGGGGAUAACGAAGCGAAAGCUUUGCUAAUACCGCAUACGAUCUACGGAUGAAAGCAGGGGACCGCAAGGCCUUGCGCGAACGGAGCGGCCGAUGGCAGAUUAGGUAGUUGGUGGGAUAAAAGCUUACCAAGCCGACGAUCUGCAGCUGGUCUGAGAGGACGACCAGCCACACUGGGACUGAGACACGGCCCAGACUCCUACGGGAGGCAGCAGUGGGGAAUUUUGGACAAUGGGCGAAAGCCUGGUCCAGCCAUGCCGCGUGCAGGAUGAAGGCCUUCGGGUUGUAAACUGCUUUUGUACGGAACGAAUAGACUCUGGUUAAUACCUGGGGUCCAUGACGGUACCGUAAGAAUAAGCACCGGCUAACUACGUGCCAGCAGCCGCGGUAAUACGUAGGGUGCAAGCGUUAAUCGGAAUUACUGGGCGUAAAGCGUGCGCAGGCGGUUAUAUAAGACAGAUGUGAAAUCCCCGGACUCAACCUGGGAACUGCAUUUGUGACUGUAUAGCUAGAGUACGGCAGAGGGGAUGGAAUUCCGCG